This 310-nucleotide unclassified non-coding RNA is filed under the name Hevea brasiliensis (rubber tree). Lineage: Eukaryota; Viridiplantae; Streptophyta; Magnoliopsida; Malpighiales; Euphorbiaceae. The record is from RNAcentral.
UGCAGAAUCAAAAGUGGCUCUAGUUUAUGGUCAGAUUGAAAUAUUCUCAACUAAAAGCAAGGCAUGCCUAAGAUAUCUAUUAGUUGAUUAAUGAAGGAAGGUAACUCUAGAACAACAUAAAUAUCAGAUGUUAAAGUGGCAACAAAAGUAGGAGGAACAAAAUCACGUUUGAUAAUAUAUUAGGAAGUUUUUGUAUAGUGCUUUAAACAUUUAUUGCAGAAAUUGGGCCCAGGACUCACAUCCAUAGUCCAUACCCACAGAUGCACACGCAAAAAUGUAAGCAUAACAAGCAGGCAAAAGACAUAUGUUG